This 446-nucleotide ribosomal RNA is filed under the name uncultured bacterium. RNAcentral describes it as "bacterial SSU rRNA". It matches the Rfam family "Bacterial small subunit ribosomal RNA", at positions 355 to 796 of the family's 1533-position model. The record is from RNAcentral.
UCGAGGAUCUUCGGCAAUGAGCGCAAGCUUGACCGAGCGACGCCGCGUGCGGGAUGAAGGCUUUCGGGUUGUAAACCGCUGUCAGUGGGGAGGAAAUUUAUGAGGGUACUCUCUCAUGAUUGACUUAUCCGCAGAGGAAGCAAGGGCUAAGUUCGUGCCAGCAGCCGCGGUAAGACGAACCUUGCUAACGUUAUUCGGAAUUACUGGGCUUAAAGGGUGCGUAGGCGGUGCAGAAAGUCGGGUGUGAAAUCCCUCAGCUCAACUGAGGAACUGCAUCCGAAACUGCUGUGCUAGAGGAAGAUAGAGGUACGCGGAACUUAGGGUGGAGCGGUGAAAUGCGUUGAUAUCCUAAGGAACACCGGUGGCGAAAGCGGCGUACUGGGUCUUUUCUGACGCUGAGGCACGAAAGCUAGGGUAGCGAACGGGAUUAGAUACCCGCGUAGUCC